AGUGUUUGGAGAGAUCACUCAGGCAGCUGGAGGAAGGCAGAGCACAGGGGCCUGGCAGCAGGAGGACCAGUCAGGAGGCUGCCGAAGGACGAUGAAGGCUGAGUUGGGAGGAGGCAAUCAUGUCCUCUCAUGCUUACCUGUGUUCGUGAUGUCUCGGGAAGCGUAAAUUGAUGGUGUUUCAAAGAAAUCAAAAUGUGGAUAGAACCACUUUUCCCCUCAUAUGAGCAAACUCCCACUGACAAGGAACUGAGAGAGACUAUAGCAUUGCUGACAGCCCAACAGACUGCUCUGGAAAUUAUCGUCAACAUGUGCUGCAAUGAAGAUCCCUCUGAUGACGAAUGGGAAGAGCUUUCUAGCAGUGAUGAAAGUGAUGCAUUUAUGGAGAAUUCUUUCAGUGAGUGCGGGGGACAGCUGUUCUCUCCCCUCUGCCUCUCCCAUGAGGUUCACACGGCUCUCACCAACUACCUCAUCCCAAAGAAGAUUUUUGAGAAAACUGCCUUUCCAAACAGCAUUGCAGUUGACCUAUGUUCUAGGAACCCUACUUGGAAACCUUUGAUUAGAAAAAUGAACACUAUUCAGUGCAGAGCCCUCUUCUGUCUCCAGAGUCUUGUGUCCCUCCUGGAUGUGGAGCACCUGGGAGGAGCCGCAGCCCUUCAGACGCUUGCACAGCAUCUGUCACAGCUGCUUUUUUCUCAACCAGAUUUUGCUAAACAUGUUGACUUUCUAGAAGCCAUAAGUAGUGCUUUGAGGGCCCUUUUGCAAACAAUGGCCUCCAAGAACAUUUCCCAGGUAAGAGUUUUA
Molecule: small RNA, 801 nt
Filed under: Pongo abelii (Sumatran orangutan)
Lineage: Eukaryota; Metazoa; Chordata; Mammalia; Primates; Hominidae
Description: processed transcript
Source: RNAcentral